UUCAAUCUCAACUAACAUAACACAUGUAUAAUGUGUUUAUAAGAUUGUUAAUUUCUCUGUACAGACGGCAAAUAAUUAGCUUCGUUCCGCCUUCUAGCCAUCAGUUGUUGGAUUAUAUUUGCAACGUCCACAAAUUUUGGUACGUAUCAAAAUUCGAAAAUGGGAAAGAUGGUGUGUGCAGAGGUGGAUGGAGGUAAUUUUUUUGAUGUGAGUCCACUAUUCAUAGCUAUUGUUAUUGCUGUCCUCCUUUUAUUCAUUUCAUGUAUGAGUCCACCACCUCGUAGAAGAUUUAUUGCAGUCAAUCGAUUUCAUUAAAGAACAGAAAAAAGAGCUAUGUUACUCGAACUCUUUAAGAAUAUUAUUUAUCAGGAAGUGUAUUGGAUCGAUAUCCUCAAAGAAUGUGUGCCAGCAAUUUGGAGGGUUUGAAUAACAUAUAUCAAGUGGUUUUGAAGCUUUAACCAAAGCUUCAUCAUGUGUUCUUUAUUGUUCUAUCUACCUAAUUAUAUAGUUUUUUUUUUUUUUUUUUUUUCUUCCCAAUUUUAUAGUUUUUUUUUUUUUUUUUUUUGGAUUUGAGUUAUUGUUUCUGUAAACGAAAUAGGGAUACAAUUAAUGAAUUCUGUUCCUUGAUGGAAUGAAUGGAUGAGUCUAGAUUAGAAUUCUUAUCGAGAAUAUCUUCACUACCUUGCACAAGGUGGGAGUAAGAUAUCCGUACACUCCACCCUCCUAAGAUCCCAUGGAAUAAGUUGUUUGUUAUUGCUAUUUAUGCCAUUAAUAUGGAUCAAAUUAGGUUAUUGAAUUCAUGCUUUUGCUUAUAUUAAAAUUUUAAGAGUAAAUGAUUAAAAGUCCAAUUUGCAUAGGAAAUUUGCAAAGGCACUGCCCAUCAACAACAACGAUAUCCAG
RNAcentral lists this long non-coding RNA (900 nucleotides) under Capsicum annuum. RNAcentral describes it as "long non-coding RNA (CANN_LNC005503)". Lineage: Eukaryota; Viridiplantae; Streptophyta; Magnoliopsida; Solanales; Solanaceae. The record is from RNAcentral.